UUCUGAGCGUGACUUGGGUUAGAUCUCUUGCGAGAGAUUUGUUUUUAUGUUUUUAUGUUUCGGCCUUAAACGGUCUUAUUUCGUAUUUCGGGACUGGCCUUGUGUGGCUUUGAAUCCCUGCUGCUCUGCGGCUUUUUUUUUAUGAUAAGAUAAUUAAAUGCCGCUUUUUUUUAUGAGUUAGUGUAUAGUGUGAAGGAAGGUGAUGAGUUGUCGUCUCAUAUCCUUCUUCGAU
This 232-nucleotide long non-coding RNA is filed under the name Brassica napus (rape). Its description in RNAcentral is "long non-coding RNA (BNAP_LNC002193)". Lineage: Eukaryota; Viridiplantae; Streptophyta; Magnoliopsida; Brassicales; Brassicaceae. The record is from RNAcentral.